Non-coding RNA from Gossypium raimondii (Peruvian cotton), 145 nucleotides. NCBI's taxonomy places the organism in Eukaryota, Viridiplantae, Streptophyta, Magnoliopsida, Malvales, Malvaceae. The record is from Rfam.
UAGUAAAAACUUUUAUCAAUUUCUAUUGUUAAAAAUUAGAGUUGCUGACAAAAUAAUCAAAUAAUUACACGUGAUGUACCAGGUGUACCUCAUUCUGACGUUUAAAGACUAAUUUUUAACAAUAGAAAUUAAUGAAUUUUUAAUA